GAACGCGAAGAACCUUACCAGGUCUUGACAUCCAGUGCAAACCUAAGAGAUUAGGUGUUCCCUUCGGGGACGCUGAGACAGGUGGUGCAUGGCUGUCGUCAGCUCGUGUCGUGAGAUGUUGGGUUAAGUCCCGCAACGAGCGCAACCCUUGUCAUUAGUUGCCAUCAUUAAGUUGGGCACUCUAAUGAGACUGCCGGUGACAAACCGGAGGAAGGUGGGGAUGACGUCAAGUCAUCAUGCCCCUUAUGACCUGGGCUACACACGUGCUACAAUGGACGGUACAACGAGAAGCGAACCUGCGAAGGCAAGCGGAUCUCUUAAAGCCGUUCUCAGUUCGGACUGUAGGCUGCAACUCGCCUACACGAAGCUGGAAUCGCUAGUAAUCGCGGAUCAGCACGCCGCGGUGAAUACGUUCCCGGGUCUUGUACACACCGA
Molecule: ribosomal RNA, 435 nt
Filed under: uncultured bacterium
Lineage: Bacteria
Description: bacterial SSU rRNA
Rfam family: Bacterial small subunit ribosomal RNA
Source: RNAcentral